This 581-nucleotide ribosomal RNA is filed under the name uncultured bacterium. RNAcentral describes it as "partial 16S ribosomal RNA". It matches the Rfam family "Bacterial small subunit ribosomal RNA", at positions 355 to 932 of the family's 1533-position model. The record is from RNAcentral.
UGGGGAAUUUUGGACAAUGGGCGAAAGCCUGAUCCAGCAAUGCCGCGUGUGUGAAGAAGGCCUUCGGGUUGUAAAGCACUUUUGUCCGGAAAGAAAUCCUUGGCUCUAAUACAGUCGGGGGAUGACGGUACCGGAAGAAUAAGCACCGGCUAACUACGUGCCAGCAGCCGCGGUAAUACGUAGGGUGCAAGCGUUAAUCGGAAUUACUGGGCGUAAAGCGUGCGCAGGCGGUUUGCUAAGACCGAUGUGAAAUCCCCGGGCUCAACCUGGGAACUGCAUUGGUGACUGGCAGGCUAGAGUAUGGCAGAGGGGGGUAGAAUUCCACGUGUAGCAGUGAAAUGCGUAGAGAUGUGGAGGAAUACCGAUGGCGAAGGCAGCCCCCCUGGGCCAAUACUGACGCUCAUGCACGAAAGCGUGGGGAGCAAACAGGAUUAGAUACCCUGGUAGUCCACGCCCUAAAACGAUGUCAACUAGUUGUUGGGGAUUCAUUUCCUUAGUAACGUAGCUAACGCGUGAAGUUGACCGCCUGGGGAGUACGGUCGCAAGAUUAAAACUCAAAGGAAUUGACGGGGUCAUAGCUG